Molecule: ribosomal RNA, 484 nt
Filed under: uncultured bacterium
Lineage: Bacteria
Description: partial 16S ribosomal RNA
Rfam family: Bacterial small subunit ribosomal RNA
Source: RNAcentral
AUUGAACGCUGGCGGCAUGCUUUACACAUGCAAGUCGAACGGCAGCGCGGGCUUCGGCCUGGCGGCGAGUGGCGAACGGGUGAGUAAUACAUCGGAACGUGCCCAGUAGUGGGGGAUAGCUCGGCGAAAGCCGGAUUAAUACCGCAUACGACCUGAGGGUGAAAGCGGGGGAUCUUCGGACCUCGCGCUAUUGGAGCGGCCGAUGGCAGAUUAGCUAGUUGGUGGGGUAAAGGCCUACCAAGGCGACGAUCUGUAGCUGGUCUGAGAGGACGACCAGCCACACUGGGACUGAGACACGGCCCAGACUCCUACGGGAGGCAGCAGUGGGGAAUUUUGGACAAUGGGCGAAAGCCUGAUCCAGCAAUGCCGCGUGUGUGAUGAAGGCCUUCGGGUUGUAAAGCACUUUUGGCGGGAACGAAAAGGACUGUGCCAAUACCACGGUUCGAUGACGGUACCCGCAGAAAAAGCACCGGCUAACUACGUG